Molecule: unclassified non-coding RNA, 281 nt
Filed under: Hevea brasiliensis (rubber tree)
Lineage: Eukaryota; Viridiplantae; Streptophyta; Magnoliopsida; Malpighiales; Euphorbiaceae
Source: RNAcentral
GUCAAUGGGGAGCUAGACACCCAGAACUUUAUGAAAUUUGAUGAAAUGGAUCCUCCACCAGCAAGAACUGGCUCUGGACCAUCAAGGAAGAUGCUAUUAACUCCCAAAGAUUUAAGUUUUGUUGGCUAUACAUACAAGAAUUUUGAUGCUGUCAAAGGGCUGCAGCAUUCUUUUGGUGGUUCCGGGGCAGAUUAUCCUACAAAACGGCCUGGCGAGGAAACAGAGGUGCAAAUGCUUGCAUCAUCAGGUGAUCCCAUGCUACCAUAAUAUAACAAAACCAC